AUGCUAGAAUGUGGCAGAGGGAGAGCUGAGACCAGAGUCCUGUUUUUUGGCAGCGGGAAUGGAGCGUGGCACUUGAACAUCCAUAUUCUCAGCCACUCUAUCACGCAGGACGGGCAGGAUCAGUGUCCAGAAGGACUGACACAACUGGAGCUGGCUUCUGAGUACAGAGUUCGAUCUUCCCUAGGGCAGGUCCAGGACCUUUUUGCCCCCAACACAACUGACCUAAAUUCUUACGCUCAACCUAACAGUGCUCAGCAAGGUAAGGGAGCCAGGGAAGGAGAAUGCUGGGGGGAGGGUUUAGGGAUGGGUAGAAGGGUGGAAAAUCUAAAUCCUGAGGCUUCUGCCGGUCCAGACUAAAGGCGGCAUCUGCUCCCAGGCACUCUUCUGGGAAUGGUAACCAGUUUAACCACUUACCAGUCCAAUUAUUUAAAUACAGGAUGACCAAAAAUUGCAUAUUUUUUCAUUAAUUUUUAUAAGAUAAUACAACAGGACGCAUAAAAACGAUAGUGUUUUCAAAUUUACUCAUAAUUGACUGGUUGAAAUGACACCUGCCCGAGCAGCACGCAGGACAGUCAGUACUAAACAAGUGAUGCUCGGGGUAGACGCCUAAGAGGUAUUAAUAGGAGCUUUCAGUGUUUGACUAGCACAGUGGCCAAGAACGCAAGCUGGCUCACUUUGUAUCCUAGCUGCUCUGGUUUGGAUAUGGUUUGAAUGAAUGUGUUUGUCCCCUGAAGUUUAUAUACUGGAAACUUGCUCCCCAGGGUGGUGAUGGCUGGGAGGCAGUAGGACGUGUAAGAGGGGACACACAGCAGGGUAACUGGGUCAUCGGGUGCUCUCCAAAGUUAUUAGGGUCAUUCCCCCAGGACCCAGGCUAGGUCCUGGGAGAGUAAGUUGUUAUGAAUGACCUGGCCCCUGAGUGUCUGGCUUCCUGCCUUGCCAUGCGGCUGCUCUGUCCUUCUCCCCUGCGCACCUUCUCUGAUGCCACUGUCGUGUUGGGAUAUGGCCAGAAGCCCCUCACCAGACCUACACACUUGCCAGUACGGUGCCUUUGGAUCUCUAGAACUGGGCACUACAUUAAUUUUUCUUUUUUUUUUCUGCCUUACUAGGGAUUAAACCCAGGGCCUCAUGCAUACUAAGUGAGUGCUCUGCCACUGAGUGACAUCCCUAUCUGUCUGACAGAUACUGAAGGCACAAUAAAGCUAGAAAUUACACUUAAAUAGAAAAAGGUAGGAUCAAAAUUUGAAGGCAGUCAUCCCAGCCCCGGGGCUCUCACACACUAGUUAGGGCAGACAAAGGAGCUAUUUAGCCCUGCUGAUUUCUUGGGGCAGACCAGGAACCAGAAAACAUGAGACAAAAUCCCAAUUUAUUUUUUUUACUUUCAGGAAUCUAAUUGUCUAAUAGAAAACACAUCCAGCCUGGGUGUCAUAGUGCACGCCUGCAAUUGCAACACUUGGAAGAGUGCGGAAGGAGGAUCACUUUGAGUUCAUAGUGAGUUUAAGGCCAGGCUGAAAUGUACAAGAGACUCUGUCUCAAAAAGAAAAGAAAAAAGAAACAAACAAACAAACAAACAAACAAAAGAAAUUAAAAAAAAAACACAUCCAGAGCCAGGGAUGUAGCUCAGUGGCAUAGUGCCUGCCUAGUAAGCACAAGGUCCUAAGUUCAAUUCCUGGUACCAAUAAAAAUAAAAAUAAAAUAAUAAUUAGUUAAACAUAUUUAGUUUCUUCGAAUUUUCCUCAGAUGGAUUACAGCUCUCUCAGAGAUGUCAGUUUUCUUUAUAAGUAAAGAAUUACAGAGUAUUCAAGAGAUCACUGAUCUCAUCCAAUGCCAUAUAAAUCUGCAGAGUUGUAGCUGGGGAUUUAGCUCAGCAGUGUAAGCACUUGUCUGGCAAACACAAGGUCAUGAGUUCAAUCCCCAGCACUAGAAAAAAAAAAAUCUGCAAAGUCCAGGUGAGUUCCCAGAAGAACUGUGCAUCUAUGAAAGAACUGUGAAUUCCCCCAAAGCCUUUCCCAGAGAGAUUACAUCUUUCAGAAUGUUAUCUACUCCACCACAGCCUCUGCUUCAGAGAAAUCAGAGGCCUUCCCAGAAAAAUCCCCCAGGGAACCAGUGUCCAAGGUCAUAGACUAAAUCUCACACUUUUCCUGGGCCCAAGGAAGCCAGGCCUGUCCAGGCCCCUCCUGAGACUUUGGCACAUUUUCUGUGUCUAGCCUUUGCCUUUUCCCUGCCAACCACAGGAUCUAUUAUGGCUGUGUCUAGAUGUCCCCUUAAAGCCUCAUGUGCUCACACGUAGGGCUCGUCAGAGGUGGCUCCACCUAGGGUGUGUGAUGCUGGGGCUACAGGUGUGUGGCAACUAACUUGGGUUAGCAGAGUUCUGGAUGUGGAUAAUGGCCAGGCCCGCCUUGGGUUCGAUUGGCCUGAAGCCUGGAUAGGAUAAAGGCGAAAAGGAGGCUCGAUCCUGCUGCUGCUUGCGGCCUUCUUUCUUGCCCUGCAUGGACUGUUUCUCCUCUGCAGUGCCCCGCAGCCAGUGGAGCCAACUGAUCACGGACUGAAAUUUCUACAAACUGUGAACUGAAAUAACUCCUCCUUUAAUUUAUGGAUGUUGGAUAUUUGUUCCAGUAAUGGGAAAGUAACUAAGAGUCCUUCUGAGGGUCAUUCUUGGGCACUUUCUUAUCACAGCGUGAGACAGCUAGGGGCACCCCAGGUUUCACACUUCUUUCCAGAAGAAUCUACUGAGGCCAGCUGAGGAAGCACCAAGUCCAAGCUCCUCCAACCUUCCUCACCAGCUCCCUGCCUCACCACUUCCUGUUGGAAGCCCUGGAGUGGAGUGUCCUGUGAUGCCCCGAUGUCCUCCAGGGGAUGCACUCUCCUCCCUGGGAUGUGAUCACAAACUGGCCUCUACACCAUCUUAGUUCUCCAGUACCACCCCAGGGCUGGGCAUGAGACAGGUCGACCUGGCAAGUAAGAGAACACAGGAGGGACUGGAGAACCUGGAGUGACCUGGAGUGAAAGUUCCAGGGAAGAUGAAGGCCCUCUUUUUUUGGGUGGGACAGAGGCGGGAUGAGGUUACCGGGAAUCGAACUCAGGACCUUGCACUUACCAGGCAGGUGCUGUGCUACUGAGGUAUAUCCCUGAAACCCCCAGAGGGAAACAGAAAUGAAGUCUCUGGAGGGAAACAGAAUGAAGUCCUCUGUCCUGACCAGUGAGUAAUCCUCAGGGACCUGGCUGCCCAGG
Cavia porcellus (domestic guinea pig) is the source of this 3228-nucleotide long non-coding RNA. The record is from Ensembl. Lineage: Eukaryota; Metazoa; Chordata; Mammalia; Rodentia; Caviidae.